This 909-nucleotide ribosomal RNA is filed under the name Triticum aestivum (bread wheat). RNAcentral's name for it is "partial small subunit ribosomal RNA". The record is from RNAcentral. Lineage: Eukaryota; Viridiplantae; Streptophyta; Magnoliopsida; Poales; Poaceae.
AUGUGGCAACAAAAUAACAUAUUCAGGACCAGACCUUCCGGAGGACAUCUGGCGUCAUAUACAUUUCCUACUGCCAAUGCAAGAUGCUGCCCGUGCUGCCUGUGUGUCUCACUCCUUUCUAUGCUCCUGGAUGUGCAACUCUCGCUUGGAAAGUCACGGAAAAUGAAGAACCUGAUGUUGAACAAUAGCUGUGGCAUCAGUUAUGCUAUUGACAACCUUCCUUCCUGUGCGCCGAAAGUUGAGACUCUUACCAUACAUUCUAGUUAUGAGAUAAUUAAUGCACCAGUGGCGUCUGGCAAAUUUUGCCACCUCAAGAUCUUGAUUAUUUAUUUUUUGGGACUCCAUUCUCAUCGGGACUAUGAUUAUUUAUCCUUGGUUUCUUUUUUUGAUGCUUCUCCUUUGUUGGAGAAGUUUGUCUUGUUUGUAUCACCUGUGCAGUCCAAGUAUGACUGGUUUGAGGGGGAUCCCUCAUCUCUGAGACAAAUGUCAGAACACCGCCAUCGCAACCUCAAGAGUGUGAAGAUCAGCAGUUUCUGCCCCCAAAAAAGCAUGGUUGAGCUAGCACGUCAUAUUCUUGAGAAUGCAACAUCGCUUGAGUGCCUUACAUUGGACACUACUCCUAUUAGUUACCGAUGUUCUGGCGAUAUAUUGGACAGGAAAUGCCCUCCACUGGAAACUGCAUGUGUAAGGGAUGCACAUAAAUCGCUCUUGGCUGUGAGAACAUACAUCGAGGGGAAAGUUAGCUCUACAGUCAAGUUAAACCUACUAGGGCCUUGCACCCGGUGUUAUGCUAUGUGCAAUUCAGAUGUGAAAUCAUCAUGCUUAUCCUGUGUUAAAUUAUGUAAGUUUAGCUGUGUUGUGCUUUGCAUUUUAAGUUUGUAUAGCUGUCUAGUGUUUGGGGUUCUGUGA